Long non-coding RNA from Tripterygium wilfordii, 548 nucleotides. RefSeq lists it as uncharacterized. The record is from RefSeq and is a predicted model, not a curated record. The transcript is spliced from 2 exons. NCBI's taxonomy places the organism in Eukaryota, Viridiplantae, Streptophyta, Magnoliopsida, Celastrales, Celastraceae.
UUGAGAGAGGGAGGUAGCAGCCGGAGAAUUGGGGGAAAAAAGAAAAAAAACAAGGGAAAAGGAAGGGUUUCUUUUGGGGACGGCACCAUAAAAGAGGAGAAGAAGGUUUGAUAGAAAAAGAAUCGGAGAGGAGAGGGAAUCGCCGCACAAGUCAAAGACAAGAGAAGAACUAGAAGAAAAGAAGCCACAAAGGAUCAACAGAAGGUCUACAUUUGAGUAUUCAAUUCUACCCAUUCUUAUGUUUGAUUUGUUGGGUUUGGAUCGGGUUUGACCCUACUUGGGCCGGAGGGCAUACUUAGAGGAUUUGGAUCGGGUUGGAGCAAUGGGCCUCGCGGGCAAUAUUGGGUUUUUGUACAUUUGUAUAAAUUUCAUUUUUUAAUUUUAUUAUUUGUCAUGUAUUCUUGUAAAAUGUAAGUCUUGUAAUAGUGUAGCAAAAAUAGUGGAUGUAAAAUAGAAAAUGCAUACAUGAUAUUCUAGGAUGUUAGAAGCAUAUAGAAAUGAGGAAUUGAUUUCGUGAAUGAUGAUGGCAUUAGAAUGCAUGCUUAGGA